This 351-nucleotide unclassified non-coding RNA is filed under the name Hevea brasiliensis (rubber tree). Lineage: Eukaryota; Viridiplantae; Streptophyta; Magnoliopsida; Malpighiales; Euphorbiaceae. The record is from RNAcentral.
GGCUAACCUAACAAGUAACAGCAGGACAAUAGAAAUAAAGAGAAGAAAAAUGAAGUAUGUUCAAUCAUCAUGUUUGAUCCCAUUGGGAGCCAUAAACCAUAAAGAUCAACUACACAAAAUAAGUAAACAACCAUACAAGUGACACACCUAUUUGCAAACUAUGUGAGAGGAAAACUUUUCUUAUUGACUGCAACAUCAAUUAGAUUAUUACUAACUAAACUGGUAUUGCAUAGAUUUUUUUCAAUGAUCACAGUGUGGCAAAUAUAUGAGCAUUAUAGUAAAAAUAACUUGAUGAGACCACAAAGAAAACUACUUCCCAUGAGUGCUGAAGUGUACGAAUUCAUGAAUCUG